UCCUUGUUUCCAAGGCAGUCCCGCUAGAGUGCUUGCUUUCGCCGAGCAACUAGCGGCAAGGGUUGCGCUCGUUCAAGGACUUAACCCGACGUCUCACGACACGAGCUGACGACAGCCAUGCAGCACCUGUGAACUUGUCUGUAUUGCUACAGAAAACACCCUUUCAGGUGCGGUCAAGCACAUGUCAAGCCCAGGUAAGGUUCCUCGCGUAGUGUCGAAUUAAACCACAUGUUCCACCGCUUGUGCGGACCCCCGUCAAUUCCUUUGAGUUUUAAUCUUGCGACCGUACUCCCCAGGUGGAUCACUUAACGCGUUAGCUUCGACACAGAUCCUGCUAUGCAAGACCCACAUCUAGUGAUCAUCGUUUACGGCGUGGACUAC
This 381-nucleotide unclassified non-coding RNA is filed under the name uncultured bacterium. RNAcentral describes it as "contains 16S-23S intergenic spacer region". The record is from RNAcentral.